CUCAGUUCGGAUCGGAGUCUGCAACCCGACUCCGUGAAGCUGGAUUCGCUAGUAAUCGCGCAUCAGCCAUGGCGCGGUGAAUACGUUCCCGGGCCUUGUACACACCGCCCGUCAAGCCAUGGGAGCCGGGAGUGCCUGAAGUCCGUGACCGCGAGGAGCGGCCUAGGGUAAGACCGGUGACUGGGGCUAAGUCGUAACAAGGUACC
Molecule: ribosomal RNA, 206 nt
Filed under: uncultured bacterium
Lineage: Bacteria
Description: partial 16S ribosomal RNA
Rfam family: Bacterial small subunit ribosomal RNA
Source: RNAcentral